CCCGGUUGAUCCUGCCGGUAGUGAUAUGCUUGUCUCAAAGAUUAAGCCAUGCAUGUCUAAGUAUAAAUGACUUAUACAGUGAAACUGCGAAUGGCUCAUUAAAUCAAUUAUCAUUUACUUGAUAAUACCUUACUAUAUGGAUAACCGUAGUAAUUCUAGAGCUAAUACAUGCUAAAAGGUGCGACUUUUUGGAAGCACUGCAUUUAUUAGAUACAAAACCAAUGCCCCGCAAGGGGUUUAGUGAUGAUUCAUAAUAACUUUGCGGAUCGUAUGCCCUAGCGGUGACGACGCAUCAUUCAAAUUUUUGCCCUAUCAACUUUCGUCGGUACGGUAGUGGCCUACCGAGGUUUCAACGGGUAACGGAGAAUAAGGGUUCGAUUCCGGAGAGGGAGCCUGAGAAACGGCUACCACUUCCAAGGAAGGCAGCAGGCGCGUAAAUUACCCAAUCCCGAUUCGGGGAGGUAGUGACAAGGAAUAACAAUACAGGGUCCAACGGAUCUUGUAAUUGGAAUGAGAACAAUCCAAACCCCUUAACGAGUAUCAAUUGGAGGGCAAGUCUGGUGCCAGCAGCCGCGGUAAUUCCAGCUCCAAUAGCAUAUAUUAAAGUUGUUGCAGUUAAAACGCUCGUAGUUGAAUCUCGGGCCGGACGGGACGGCGGGCCAUGAGGCUUUAGCUUGACUCGCUGGUCAAAAUCUUUCCGGAGUAGACCGUAUGCACUUAACUGGGUGUGCGGAGAACUCUGCUCCGGACGUUUACUUUGAAAAAAUUAGAGUGUUCAAAGCAGGCGUUUUCGCUGUGAAUAUCUUAGCAUGGAAUAAUGAAAUAUGACUUUGGUUGUGUUUUGUUGGUUUUAAUGACCGAAGUAAUGAUUAAUAGGGAUAGUUGGGGGCAUUUGUAUUUCGUUGUCAGAGGUGAAAUUCUUGGAUUUACGAAAGACAAACUACUGCGAAAGCAUCUGCCAAGGAUGUUUUCAUUAAUCAAGAACGAAAGUUGGGGGAUCGAAGAUGAUCAGAUACCGUCGUAGUCUCAACUAUAAACGAUGCCGACCAGGGAUUAGAAGCUGUUAAUUUGCAUGACGCUUCUGGCACCUUUGGAGAAAUCAGAGUGUUUGGGUUCUGGGGGGAGUAUGGUCGCAAGGCUGAAACUUAAAGGAAUUGACGGAAGGGCACCACCAGGAGUGGAGCCUGCGGCUUAAUUUGACCCAACACGGGGAAACUCACCAGGUCCAGACAUAGUAAGGAUUGACAGAUUGAGAGCUUUUUCUUGAUUCUAUGGGUGGUGGUGCAUGGCCGUUCUUAGUUGGUGGAGUGAUUUGUCUGGUUGAUUCCGUUAACGAACGAGACCUCAGCCUGCUAAAUAGUUACUGGAUCUCACGAUUCAGGGCAACUUCUUAGAGGGACUAUUUGCGUCUAGUGAAUGGAAGUUUGAGGCGAUAACAGGUCUGUGAUGCCCUUAGAUGUCCUGGGCCGCACGCGCGCUACACUGACAAAGUCAACGAGUAUAUAACCUUGCCCGAAAGGGUUGGGUAAUCUCUUAAAUUUUGUCGUGAUGGGGAUUGACUAUUGUAAUUAUUAGUCAUAAACGAGGAAUUCCUAGUAAGUGCAAGUCAUCAGCUUGCGUUGAUUACGUCCCUGCCCUUUGUACACACCGCCCGUCGCUCCUACCGAUUGAAUGUUCCGGUGAAAUCUAGGGAUUGCGGCGACUUAGCUUCACGGCCAGGUUGUUGCGAGAACUUGCUUAAACCUUAACAUUUAAAGGAAGGAGAAGUCGUAACAAGGUU
RNAcentral lists this ribosomal RNA (1780 nucleotides) under metagenome. Its description in RNAcentral is "SSU rRNA". It matches the Rfam family "Eukaryotic small subunit ribosomal RNA". The record is from RNAcentral.